RNAcentral lists this ribosomal RNA (466 nucleotides) under uncultured bacterium. RNAcentral describes it as "bacterial SSU rRNA". It matches the Rfam family "Bacterial small subunit ribosomal RNA", at positions 28 to 507 of the family's 1533-position model. The record is from RNAcentral.
GACGAACGCUGGCGGCACGCUUAACACAUGCAAGUCGAACGGAGAUAAUUUGAGUUUACUUAGAUUAUCUUAGUGGCGGACGGGUGAGUAACACGUGAGCAACCUACCUUUGAGAGAGGGAUAGCUUCUGGAAACGGAUGGUAAUACCUCAUAACGUAGUUUUACCGCAUGAUAGGACUACCAAAGAUUUAUCACUCAAAGAUGGGCUCGCGUCUGAUUAGCUAGAUGGUGAGGUAACGGCUCACCAUGGCGACGAUCAGUAGCCGGACUGAGAGGUUGAACGGCCACAUUGGGACUGAGACACGGCCCAGACUCCUACGGGAGGCAGCAGUGGGGAAUAUUGCACAAUGGGGGAAACCCUGAUGCAGCGAUGCCGCGUGGAGGAAGAAGGUUUUCGGAUUGUAAACUCCUGUCUUAAAGGACGAUAAUGACGGUACUUUAGGAGGAAGCUCCGGCUAACUACGUG